AGUGAGCUGAGAUGGGUGGUGUCGGCUGGUGGAGAUGGAACUUGCAAACAAAGUUUCUGAUCCACACUAUCUUCAGGAGAACUCUCCAAUACUCAAGUCAAUAGAUAAUCAGAGAAUAAGGAGUGUGUGUGUGUGUGUGAGAGAGAGAGAGAGAGAGAGGAGCAUCUGUGAUGGGUUUUCCACUUAUCUAGGGUCCCGCAUUCUGCAUCUAGGAUGUAGGACAAGCUAGUUGUUAGGUGGAUUCUCCCUGGUGUGAUUGAGAUUGCCUUUUGUGGCUCAUUGUGAUCGGAGGAUCGAUCUACUUUUGGAUUAGGAAGCCCUGCCUUAUUGGGCCAACCCUCUCUUCAUCCAGUCGAUGAGGUCAGGUCGGUUAGGUCUGACCUUG
Molecule: long non-coding RNA, 385 nt
Filed under: Elaeis guineensis (African oil palm)
Lineage: Eukaryota; Viridiplantae; Streptophyta; Magnoliopsida; Arecales; Arecaceae
Description: long non-coding RNA (EGUI_LNC051738)
Source: RNAcentral